RNAcentral lists this transfer RNA (73 nucleotides) under Phycisphaerae bacterium. RNAcentral describes it as "tRNA-Lys". It matches the Rfam family "tRNA". Rfam says of the family: Transfer RNA (tRNA) molecules are approximately 80 nucleotides in length. RNAcentral also lists the same sequence under 2 other names. The record is from RNAcentral. Lineage: Bacteria; Pseudomonadati; Planctomycetota; Phycisphaerae.
GGAGGUGUAGCUCAGUUGGUAGAGCAACGGCCUUUUAAGCCGUUGGUCCUGGGUUCGAGUCCCAGCACCUUCA